CUACGGACUUAAUUGGAUUGAGCCUUGGUAUGGAAACUUACUAAGUGAUAACUUUCAAAUUCAGAGAAACCCUGGAAUUAAUAAAAAUGGGCAAUCCUGAGCCAAAUCACGUUUUCCGAAAACAAACAAAGGUUCAGAAAGCGAAAAUAAAAAAGGAUAGGUGCAGAGACUCGAUGGAAGCUGUUCUAACGAAUGGAGUUGAUUGUCUUACAUUGGUAGAGGAAUCCUUCUAUCGAAACUUCAGAAAAGAGGAAGGAUAAACCUGUAUACAUAGAAGAAUUGGUAUGAAUCGAUUCCAUAUUGAAGAAAGAAUCAAAUAUUCAUUGAUCAAAGCAUUCACGCAUAAUCUGAUAGAUCUUUUGAAUAACUGAUGAAAUCGGACGAGAAUAAAGAUAGAGUCCCGUUCUACAUGUCAAUACCGGCAACAAUGAAAUUUAUAGUAAGAGGAAAAUCCGUCGAUUUCAAAAAUCAUGAGGGUUCAAGUCCCUCUAUCCCCAAUUUUCCGCCCUAAUUAUUUCUCGUAUCCUUUUUAUUUAUUUUAUCCUUUUUUCGUUAGCGGUUUAAAAGUACUUAUCUUUCUCAUUCACUACUCUUUAUACAAAUGGAUCUGAGCGGAAAUGUAUCACAUGUCACAUGUGACAUAUAUGAUACAUGUACAAAUGAACAUCUUUGAGCAAGGAAUCCCCAUUUGAAUGAUUCACGAUCGAUAUUUUGAUUCAUAUUGAAACUUAAAAAGUUGUUCUUUUGGUAAAUUCUAGGACCUGGCUGAGGCUUUGUAAUACCCGUUCAAUUGACAUAUACCCACGUUCUCUAGUAAAAUGAAAAUGAGGAUGAGACAUCAGGAAUAGUCGGGAUAGCUCAGUUGGUAGAGCAGAGGACUGAAAAUCCUCGUGUCACCGGUUCAAAUCUGGUUCCUGACA
RNAcentral lists this long non-coding RNA (920 nucleotides) under Helianthus annuus (common sunflower). The stretch from base 1 to 422 matches the Rfam family "Group I catalytic intron". The record is from RNAcentral. Lineage: Eukaryota; Viridiplantae; Streptophyta; Magnoliopsida; Asterales; Asteraceae.